RNAcentral lists this long non-coding RNA (369 nucleotides) under Solanum tuberosum (potato). RNAcentral's name for it is "long non-coding RNA (STUB_LNC011301)". The record is from RNAcentral. Lineage: Eukaryota; Viridiplantae; Streptophyta; Magnoliopsida; Solanales; Solanaceae.
GGGGGGGGGCUGGUUAUCAUGAUGCCCUCUUGGGGUUGUAAUUCCCACCUCAUCAAUUUUUACCGAAUGAGUUUUUUGGUGUGAAUACAUAGUUACCUUAUCAAAAAGAAAAAAAGUUAUCCUUACUUGUGGAUGGAAUACUAAUCCGUGGAUAAGUUAUCCCAAGAUAAAAAUGCAAAAUAACAAAAGUACCCCCUUAAACCCUCUUUUAAUCAUCACUUUAACAUUCAUGUAUAUUCAAAGAAUUUUUAAUACCAUUUAUAAUAACAUUCACAACCUUCACUACUCGUUAUUUUUAUGAUUAUAUAUUUUCCCGUUAAAAAUUUACACUAUAUAAAUAUAAUUUUAAUUUAUGAAUAUAUCAUACGU